UACGAAGGGGGCGAGCGUUGUUCGGAUUUACUGGGCGUAAAGGGCGCGCAGGCGGCCGCAUUUGUCAGGCGUGAAAGCCCCGGGCUUAACCUGGGAACUGCGUUUGAUACGGUGUGGCUAGAGUUCGGGAGAGGAGAGUGGAAUUCCCAGUGUAGAGGUGAAAUUCGUAGAUAUUGGGAAGAACACCGGUGGCGAAGGCGGUUCUCUGGGACGGUACUGACGCUGAGACGCGAAAGCGUGGGGAGCGAACAGG
Molecule: ribosomal RNA, 253 nt
Filed under: uncultured bacterium
Lineage: Bacteria
Description: partial 16S ribosomal RNA
Rfam family: Bacterial small subunit ribosomal RNA
Source: RNAcentral